GACCAGACUCCUACGGGAGGCAGCAGUGGGGAAUAUUGCACAAUGGGGGAAACCCUGAUGCAGCGACGCCGCGUGGGUGAAGGAGCACCUCGGUGCGUAAAGCCCUAUCGGCAGGGAAGAAACAGACGGUACCUGACUAAGAAGCCCCGGCUAACUACGUGCCAGCAGCCGCGGUAAUACGUAGGGGGCAAGCGUUAUCCGGAUUUACUGGGUGUAAAGGGAGCGUAGACGGUUGUGCAAGUCAGAAGUGAAAGCCCGGGGCUCAACUCCGGGACUGCUUUUGAAACUGUGAAACUGGAGUGCAGGAGAGGUAAGCGGAAUUCCUGGUGUAGCGGUGAAAUGCGUAGAUAUCAGGAGGAACACCAGUGGCGAAGGCGGCUUACUGGACUGUAACUGACGUUGAGGCUCGAAAGCGUGGGGAGCAAACAGGAUUAGAUACCCGAGUAU
Molecule: ribosomal RNA, 447 nt
Filed under: uncultured bacterium
Lineage: Bacteria
Description: bacterial SSU rRNA
Rfam family: Bacterial small subunit ribosomal RNA
Source: RNAcentral